GACGAACGCUGGCGGCGUGCUUAACACAUGCAAGUCGAACGGAAAGGCCCUGCUUUUGUGGGGUGCUCGAGUGGCGAACGGGUGAGUAACACGUGAGUAACCUGCCCUUUACUUUUGGAUAACUUCAGGAAACUGGGGCUAAUACCGGAUAGGAGCUCCUGCCGCCUGGUGGGGGUUGGAAAGUUUCGGCGGUUGGGGAUGGACUCGCGGCUUAUCAGCUUGUUGGUGGGGUAGUGGCUUACCAAGGCUUUGACGGGUAGCCGGCCUGAGAGGGUGACCGGCCACAUUGGGACUGAGAUACGGCCCAGACUCCUACGGGAGGCAGCAGUGGGGAAUAUUGCACAAUGGGCGGAAGCCUGAUGCAGCAACGCCGCGUGCGGGAUGACGGCCUUCGGGUUGUAAACCGCUUUCGCCUGUGACGAAGCGUGAGUGACGGUAAUGGGUAAAGAAGCACCGGCUAACUACGUG
This 468-nucleotide ribosomal RNA is filed under the name uncultured bacterium. RNAcentral's name for it is "partial 16S ribosomal RNA". It matches the Rfam family "Bacterial small subunit ribosomal RNA", at positions 28 to 507 of the family's 1533-position model. The record is from RNAcentral.